AAGGAGAAGUCGUAACAAGGUUUCCGUAGGUGUACUUGCGGAAGGAUCAUUGUUACACCUCGGCUUACCUCUGGUUCAGAGGAAGACGACGAAGGUGGCUCGGGGUAAAAGAACCCACGGCGCCAAAGGCGUCAAGGAACACUGUGCCUUACCCGGGGUGUGGCUGGCUUGCUAGCCGUGCCCCGUGUUGCAAUGCUAUAUAAUCCACACGACUCUCGGCAACGGAUAUCUCGGCUCUCGCAUCGAUGAAGAACGUAGCGAAAUGCGAUACCUGGUGUGAAUUGCAGAAUCCCGCGAACCAUCGAGUCUUUGAACGCAAGUUGCGCCUGAGGCCACUUGGCCGAGGGCACGCCUGCUUGGGCGUCACGUCAAACACGCUCCCACCACUCAUCGGGAAGUGGGACGCGGCAUGUGGCCCCCCGUUUCGCAAGGUACGGUGGGCCUAAGAUGUGGCUGCCGGCCUAUCGUGCCGGACACAGCGCGUGGUGGGCGAUCUCGCUUUACUUACCGCAGUGCAUACGGACCGUAGCCGAUGUUAUGGCCUUAAGGACCCAAAGAACGGAGCACUUGAUGCUUCGACCGCGACCCCAAGUCAGGCGGGACUACCCGCUGAG
Molecule: ribosomal RNA, 614 nt
Filed under: embryophyte environmental sample
Lineage: Eukaryota; Viridiplantae; Streptophyta
Description: eukaryotic LSU rRNA
Rfam family: 5.8S ribosomal RNA (bases 211-366)
Source: RNAcentral